AACUGGAUUUCAUGGGUAUAAGCUUUCAUGUGCAUGCACACCUCUUCAGGUAUCUGAAGAAGUGUGCAUGCACACAAAAGCUUAUAUCCAGAACAAACUUAGUUGC
Molecule: non-coding RNA, 106 nt
Organism: Podarcis lilfordi (Lilford's wall lizard)
Lineage: Eukaryota; Metazoa; Chordata; Lepidosauria; Squamata; Lacertidae
Source: the annotation of a GenBank genome assembly